This 632-nucleotide ribosomal RNA is filed under the name Alexandrium pseudogonyaulax. Its description in RNAcentral is "LSU rRNA". It matches the Rfam family "Eukaryotic large subunit ribosomal RNA", at positions 43 to 620 of the family's 3401-position model. The record is from RNAcentral. Lineage: Eukaryota; Dinophyceae; Gonyaulacales; Pyrocystaceae.
UAAGUAGGCAGUGGAAAAUGAACCAAAUGGGAUUUCUUGAGUAAUUGCGAAUGAACAAGGAAAUGCUCACCUUUGAAAAUUGGGUACUGUGUGCCUUGAUUUGUAUUUUUGGAAUGCGUUGCCAAUGGGUGUGCGGGUGUCAGCCUAUUGAAAGAAAGCGCCAGUGUAGGUGACAUUCCUUUUGUCAUCUGUAAUAUUCCAUGCACGGUGUGCAUUUACUGAGUCACCUUCCUUGGCAUUGGAAUGAUAAUUUGAUGGUAAAUUUCAUUUAAAGGAAAACAUAUCAUUGAGACUGAUAGCAAACAAGUACCAUGAGGGAGAUAUGAAAAGGACUUUGAAAAGAGAAUUAAAAGAGCUUGAACUUGUUAAGCAGAAAGCAAACAGACAUGUGUGCAAUGGUGGGAUUGUUGUGCACAUGUCUGCCAAUUGUGUGGGCAUAUGUGCAAUGGUACUUGCCUUGAAUACCAGCUCCUUACUUGAAAUUAUUAUUUGUGCGUGUGAAUGAAAAUGUGCUUUUGGGUGUUGCGAUAUAUGGAAUUGAAAUGAUAUUGGGUUGUGUGUGGCGUAUGGUUUGGUUGCGUGCCCAUGGGUAGGAAGGGUGUCCUUCCUGGUUGUGUGAUAAGCCUUGGUGU